Long non-coding RNA from Fundulus heteroclitus (mummichog), 90 nucleotides. RefSeq lists it as uncharacterized. The record is from RefSeq and is a predicted model, not a curated record. NCBI's taxonomy places the organism in Eukaryota, Metazoa, Chordata, Actinopteri, Cyprinodontiformes, Fundulidae. The transcript has 3 exons.
CUGGAUUUGUAGUGUGAAGACUCUGACCAAAUAAUAUAACUUGAGUUUUACUUUGAUUAAGGUGAAGAAAGUUUUAUUUCAUCCCUCCUG